AUGAACAUGACAUACUACGGUCCUGUAUAGAUGAAUACAAAAGGUACAAUACAGUAAAACUGCACAUUUUCAAAUGGCAAUAAUCCUGCUGUCUCAUCAGCAUCUUGAUGUGCUACACCUGGAUUAUCUACGCAAAGGAGAUUAAGACAAAUUUAUGACCAAUAUUUCAGAAAAAUAGGCCUUUUGUGGCUGGAAAAACUCAAAUUUGAAGAUUUGUUUUAGUUUGUAUUUUUUAGUUUGUCACCGAUAACAUGAAUAAAGUCAAAUAGCAAAUGUGAACAUGUGCAUUUCUAAAUGAAUAAUGGGUGUAAAUAUACAGUAUCCUGGUACAUUUAAGGUUACUUUUACCUUCACUGAAAACGUGCUUCUUGGUGUGACAGAAAACAGGAAGGUGGUGGGGGUGGUCUUUGGCAACAGUCAAAUGAAGGUAAAAGUCACCUUUAAAGGGUGAUUCAUCAACUUAGCUUAAAUAGGUUGUAUAUUGUUUGGAGUUAUGUUCUACAUUGUUCAAGUUUUCAAAGCAAAUGGUAAAUUUGCAUAAAUAACACUUAUAGUUUAUGGCGGCACCCCUGACGAGUUAGCGCUUGCAGUUCAACCUCACAAGUGUUUUUUUGUGUGAGUGUUACCUCCUUAAACCAGGCCUAGGAAAAUACAGUUAUUCUAUUUUUCCUGGGAGUCAGAUGCACUCCAUCCGCAACACAGAAAAGAGCAGGAACAAGUUGGUGGUCUUCCCAACACAGGAGGAGUUUAUUCCCAAGUUUAUGCCCAACAUGGGGCUCGAACCCACGACCCUAAUUCUAAUUUUUCUAAUACUCUUUUCAUUUCACUUAGUUGGUGGGUGUUUUUGCAAACCUAUAUUCAUAAUCUUAGUCACAAUUAUAUUUUGUGUCCUCCCCGUGCAUGCGUGGAUUUUCUCCGGGGAAUGUGGUUUCCUCCCCCAUUCCAAAACCAUGCAGGCUCGGUUAAUUGGCCACUCCAAAUUGUGGAUGAAUGAAUGAAUAUUGAGGCUCAUUUUGUGUUGAGUUGCUUAGAACAACCACAAUAUUUAAGACAUGUGUAUUAAACACUUUGAGAUGAUCUUUCAAAAGGUACGAAGGCUUAUUGUACAUACAAACGUCUAUCUGUGAUUCAUUCCAAGUUAACUAUGGACAUGUGAUUAAUUAUGAUUAAAUCAAUUUGAAUCAAUUGACAGCCCUACAAUUUAAGUUUUAAAUGUCAUCCGGUUUAGCCUUCCUGCAUAAUUUGCACGGGAAUUUGUAGAUUAUGUUGCAUUUUUUGCUCUGUUCUAUUCUGUCUGAGUAUCUGUUCUGUUCUUUUUUAACGACCAAGUUUCAGAGAAUAUAUCAGCUGGCUGAUGGCCUAUGACUUCUGUAAAUUCACAUUUAUGACCUGGGUGAUAAACACUCCAAAAAAGCAACAUGGGUGUCUGCUUUAUCAACAAAAGUGUAACAUGUAGUUUCUGCUAUAUUUAUUCAUGUUUAGUGCUUAGACAUUUUUCAAUCAUGUAGUUUUAACAUGACAAGCAAAAUCCUUAAAACUACUUGAUCGAUUUAUGUCAGCACAACCGAAUGGGUUCAGAUUGGAUCCCAUUUGCAAUACCUCUCCAGAACAGAAGGUGGCAGCAACACGUGACAGGCCCUAUUCAUCAGCUAAGGUAGCUUCCGGUGGAGAAGCGCCAUAGUAGAGAGUUGGGGAGUUAGCUUAUACUGCCUCACGACAAUCUUCUUGCAUCCAUCAAAAGUUAAACCAUCCCUGGUGGAGAAAGAUCUCAGUUGGAACUUGAUACCAUUAAGAUGUCCUGUGUCACAAACUAAAAGGGUCUCCUGUUCAAGUUCACCUCCAUCUGCCAUCCACCUGAAAGGGACUGCUUCUUCAGCUUCAUCAAACCAAAGAGUUACUGUAAAGAGGGCAAUCUCAGCCAGUCUCAGGUUCAUGACAGAGUACUUUAAGUUCAUACAUUUAGUGGCAAUCAAGUCAAGAUAUGCUUUUUUUAUGCGUCAUUGUUUGCCUGUUUUGAAGAAUACAGUCAUUUUACAAAUCAAGUCUGUUUUGUGGUCUUUUUGGAGUUUAUUUUCCUUUUAAAAAGUUUUGUCUCAGUUUAACUUUUUGUUGACUGAACUUUAAGUUUUGUCAAGUCAGGAUUAAAUAACUGGUGAUAUUUUACCUUUUAAAAUUGUAGCUGUACCUACCCUGUAUAAAUAAGAUACCCAUAAUCAUAUAGAAAUGAAUGGAACCAAAGGAAAAUAAGUAGCCUUAGUAGCCUUAGUAGAUAUGUGAAAACAACCUAUACAAAUUAAGUUGGAUUUAAACAUGUUAAACAUGUUCACUCAACAUAUUUGCAAUUAGUUGGUUCAACAAAAUUGUAUCUCAUUAAAUGACAGCAUUUUAAUUGGAUGGAAAUUCUUUCCAUAAUUUUAUUACGUUCACCCAACAAAUUAUUUCUUUGAGUGCAUGCCACACACUUGACCGUGCUUUACAUAAUGGAUACCCCAAAGUACAAUGAAGAAAGCUAAAGUAAAAUAAAGGCUACCGUGAGCGUCUCUUCUCUGAUUCGUGUGCAAGCCCCACCUGGCUGAGUGCCCACUGAGUUGUCACAGCACGUUGACAACAAUCAUUUAGUAUACACCGUGACUCUACAGUCGUGUAAUGUAUUUCAUGUAAGUGUGGGUAUUAUGAGGAUGAUUUUGUCUUUUUGGGUGAUGUGAUGGCUUUUCUUUCUUGUUUUGUGAUAAUGUUUCCUGGGGGUUUGCUAUUGAAUAAAGCUGCUAUUGUGUUGCAGGG
Molecule: long non-coding RNA, 2781 nt
Organism: Doryrhamphus excisus (bluestripe pipefish)
Lineage: Eukaryota; Metazoa; Chordata; Actinopteri; Syngnathiformes; Syngnathidae
Source: RefSeq, a predicted model, not a curated record